CCGGCCGCGCCGGGCACCGUGCGGCCCCGCUGGGCCGGGCCUCGGCGGGCGGGAGCUGCGGCUUGCCGGGCUGCCGCCGCCUCGGAUCUCGGUGAACGGCUGAGGGGACGCGUUUGAGGCGGGAAGGCUGCGGGCGCGGUGUAGCUCUCCCCGCGGCCGCUCCUCACGCCCAGAAGCUGGCGCUGCUCUCCCGGUCCCGAGCUGCGGCAGCUCAGCCGCUGCUUUCCGCAGUCUCUGCUCCCAGCCGCGGCUCUCCUCCAGCCAAGUCGGCGGUGACCUACCUACGCUGUGGACAAAGUAGGUCUAGGGAAGACUGCAGCUGCUCUUCCAGUGGAUUGAGUCGUAUCGAUCUUACAGCGGCACGACCUGCAUCCAGCCUCCUCCUGGACACUAAACCUUGUCAGAACUGACCUCGCCAAGCUUCCUCUACGAUCACAAACAGCGAAGUCACCAUUUAAACGGGGAACAGCAGCCUGAGCGAGGCGAGAUCGUUGUGGCCGCAGAAAAGCCGAAUAAACAGGAAUUUGGUGAGGAAAAAAGGUAUAGCGUGGGUGUUCUUGCAGCACCUUCCAAUAACUUUGAGUCCUUCAUCCCACAGCAUCCCUGGACAUGUUUUACAGAGAGCAGCCCUCAGACAAGCAGAAGUGAACGAAUUUGACCUCAGUCGGUUCACAAGCUAGAAUCUGCCCAGGCUGAAGUUGGCGUUUCCACAGAUCCUUCUGCUCCCUCUCUCCUUGCUACACAAAACUGUUCAGCCACUUGUCAGGGUAGCCUAAAGGUUUCAUCUCCAAAGUCCUCUGCAUAGACCUCAUCAUCUGUUGGCAAGGAGUUGUCAAAAACUCCCAGCUCUAACCUUUGGAGGAAGAGGGUAAAAACCACCUUAGGAUGCCUUGGUUCUUUUCCUAUAACAAUAUGCUGAUAUCAUAGAUUCGAUGCAGAGCAAUUGUGUCAAGAACCCCACA
This is a long non-coding RNA of Pogoniulus pusillus (Red-fronted tinkerbird), 962 nucleotides long. RefSeq lists it as uncharacterized. Lineage: Eukaryota; Metazoa; Chordata; Aves; Piciformes; Lybiidae. The record is from RefSeq and is a predicted model, not a curated record. The transcript is spliced from 2 exons.